GCUCCUGUAGCCCAACUGGAAGAGGUGACAGACUUAAAAUCUGUUAGUUGUGGGUUCGACUCCCACCAGGAGCA
This 74-nucleotide transfer RNA is filed under the name Okeania sp. SIO2H7. RNAcentral's name for it is "tRNA-Leu". It matches the Rfam family "tRNA". From Rfam's summary of the family: Transfer RNA (tRNA) molecules are approximately 80 nucleotides in length. The record is from RNAcentral. Lineage: Bacteria; Bacillati; Cyanobacteriota; Cyanophyceae; Oscillatoriales; Microcoleaceae.